This 447-nucleotide long non-coding RNA is filed under the name Cyanistes caeruleus (blue tit). RNAcentral's name for it is "lncRNA (ENSCCEG00000009510.1)". The record is from RNAcentral. Lineage: Eukaryota; Metazoa; Chordata; Aves; Passeriformes; Paridae.
CCAUGGUAACUGGUUGAGUGGCAAACACAAAAACUGGUUAGGCACGUUAUUGCCCUGUGGAGCUGCCAGCAGCGGAGUCCUGCCUGGCUCUGAUCUCUGUCUUCUGUCCAGGAAUUAAUGCUCAUGCUAGGCAAAGGCUCCAGCAGCAAAACCUUCACCUGGCUCUGGAUCGGAGAGACCUCAACACCACUGGCUACUCUAUGACGGAAAUUUGUUCCACUCCUCUCAGGAAAUAUCCUGGGCCCUGAGUUACAUCAACUCCACAGCAAAAUGGCCACGGCCUUGUAUAUAGAAAGCCCUUUACAACGCAGAUCAUCUUUACAGAGGAACUUAGAACACUGGUCUAUACAGUGCAGGGCCUUCAGACAAUGCAGAAAAUUCCAGAGCUGUUCUCCAGUAUUGUAUGGACUCUUUCUCCAUUCAGAGCUCCAUAAUGAUAGUGGCUGA